GUUGACCUCGAAUCAGGUAGGACUACCCGCUGAACUUAAGCAUAUCAAUAAGCGGAGGAAAAGAAACCAACAGGGAUUGCCCC
This 83-nucleotide ribosomal RNA is filed under the name Cordyceps cf. militaris Chen-1999. RNAcentral describes it as "partial 26S ribosomal RNA". It matches the Rfam family "Eukaryotic large subunit ribosomal RNA", at positions 1 to 81 of the family's 3401-position model. The record is from RNAcentral. Lineage: Eukaryota; Fungi; Ascomycota; Sordariomycetes; Hypocreales; Cordycipitaceae.